CCUCCAUUUCUUGGCAUACAUGUGGUUGUUUAGUACUCGUGUGUGUUAUGUACGGAGGAAAAACAAAGGCAGCGCUAUGUCUUCGGUACCGGUGUGUAUUAUUGUCUACCGGUCCUAUCCUCAAACGCUGUUACAACC
This 138-nucleotide small nucleolar RNA is filed under the name Amphilophus citrinellus (Midas cichlid). Its description in RNAcentral is "Small nucleolar RNA SNORA57 (ENSACIG00000013265.1)". It matches the Rfam family "Small nucleolar RNA SNORA57". From Rfam's summary of the family: U99 belongs to the H/ACA class of snoRNAs which are thought to guide the sites of modification of uridines to pseudouridines, the target for this family is unknown. Lineage: Eukaryota; Metazoa; Chordata; Actinopteri; Cichliformes; Cichlidae. The record is from RNAcentral.